RNAcentral lists this ribosomal RNA (775 nucleotides) under uncultured Neocallimastigales. RNAcentral describes it as "partial large subunit ribosomal RNA". It matches the Rfam family "Eukaryotic large subunit ribosomal RNA", at positions 22 to 645 of the family's 3401-position model. The record is from RNAcentral. Lineage: Eukaryota; Fungi; Neocallimastigomycota; Neocallimastigomycetes; Neocallimastigales.
GUACACGCUGUGACUAGCAUAUCAAUAAGCGGAGGAAAAGAAACUAACAAGGAUUCCCCUAGUAACGGCGAGUGAAGCGGGAAGAGCUCAAAUUUGAAAUCUUAAAGGUUUUCCCUUGACGAAUUGUAGUUUAAAGAAGUGUUUUCUGUUGAAGGUUUUGGUAAAAGUUCUUUGGAAUAGGACAUCAUAGAGGGUGAUGAAUCCCGUAUAUUGACCUUGACUGUACGACUUUAGUGAUACACUUUCAAAGAGUCGGGUUGUUUGGGAAUGCAGCCCAAAACGGGAGGUAAAUUUCUUCUAAGGCUAAAUAUUGGCGAGAGACCGAUAGCGAACAAGUACCAUGAGGGAAAGAUGAAAAGAACUUUGAAAAGAGAGUUAAAUAGUACGUGAAAUUGUCAAAAGGGAAGCGUUUAACACCAGUGUUGUUUUCUGAAAAUCAACCUCUGUUAGCUUUAUGCAUGUUUGUUUAGAUCUAAUCAGCUAUCUUGCAUGUUCUAUUGUUUGCAGUGGUGCACUUUUCAGUUUACAGGUCAACAUCAGUUUUUUUACCGUAAAAAAGUUAAAGAAAGGUAGCUCAUGGCUCCGGUCGUGAGUGUUAUAGUCUUUUUCCUAUGCGGUAGGAGAGACUGAGGUCUGCAGUGUAGGCUAUUUGGCUAGAUACUCAGGUGCUAUGUGAUACCAUUUCAUAAACAACUUGUUGAUUAUGUUUUGUCUAUUGCAUACUCGCUUGUACUAUCAUACCUACGCUUAGGAUGUUGACGCAUGAGAUAUACGC